This 459-nucleotide ribosomal RNA is filed under the name uncultured bacterium. RNAcentral describes it as "bacterial SSU rRNA". It matches the Rfam family "Bacterial small subunit ribosomal RNA", at positions 732 to 1196 of the family's 1533-position model. The record is from RNAcentral.
AAGUAAUAUUGACGCUGAUGCACGAAAGUGUGGGGAUCAAACAGGAUUAGAUACCCUGGUAGUCCACACUGUAAACGAUGAUAACUCGCUGUCGGCGAUACAUAGUCGGUGGCCAAGCGAAAGCGAUAAGUUAUCCACCUGGGGAGUACGACCGCCAGGUUGAAACUCAAAGGAAUUGACGGGGGCCCCCACAAGCGGAGGAACAUGUGGUUUAAUUCGAUGAUACGCGAGGAACCUUACCCGGGCUUGAAAUGCACAGGAAUGAUGAGGAAACUUAUCCGCCAGCAAUGGUCUCUGUGUAGGUGCUGCAUGGUUGUCGUCAACUCGUGCCGUGAGGUGUCGGCUUAAGUGCCAUAACGAGCGCAACCCCUAUCAUUAUUUACUAACAGGUAAAGCUGAGGACUCUAGUGAGACUGCCACCCUAAGGUGAGAGUAAGGUGUGAAUGACGUCAAUAUCAC